Ictidomys tridecemlineatus (thirteen-lined ground squirrel) is the source of this 133-nucleotide small nucleolar RNA. The record is from Ensembl. Lineage: Eukaryota; Metazoa; Chordata; Mammalia; Rodentia; Sciuridae.
GGGGUUUGGAUUUAUGGCAGGCCUGUCCCCCUGACCCUCUCCUAGUGUCUUAUGCCAGAGCAAACCAUGGCCCUGAAUCAUUGCCUGGUCUCUGUGCCUAUAGGCUGCUGGCACUGAGGCCUCUUGUACUGUG